CUACUCGGGUUCGAUUCGAAAAAAAACUCGAAUUCGGUUCGAUUAUUGUCGAGUCGAGCUCGAGCUCGAGUAGCUCGACUUAUCGAUCGAGCCGAAUUCGAGUAUUCUUAUAUCUGACUCGAGUAGCUCGCGAGCCUAAUCGAGCUUUUAUAUUUAAAUAUAUUUUUAUUUUUUUUAAUUAAAAAAAUAUUUCGAAUCCGAGUUCGAGUUCGAGUUCGAGCAUGAAUAAUCGAACUCUUGUCGAGUAUACAAAUCGAGCUUAUUUUUACAUAUUAAUCGAGCUUAAUCGAGCGAGCUCGAGUAGCUCGAAUUCGAUCACGAAUCGAGCUCGAGCUUGAAAAAU
Molecule: long non-coding RNA, 343 nt
Filed under: Durio zibethinus
Lineage: Eukaryota; Viridiplantae; Streptophyta; Magnoliopsida; Malvales; Malvaceae
Description: long non-coding RNA (DZIB_LNC000569)
Source: RNAcentral